RNAcentral lists this non-coding RNA (103 nucleotides) under Acholeplasma laidlawii. Its description in RNAcentral is "Guanine sequence". It matches the Rfam family "Purine riboswitch aptamer". Rfam says of the family: Riboswitches are metabolite binding domains within certain messenger RNAs that serve as precision sensors for their corresponding targets. Allosteric rearrangement of mRNA structure is mediated by ligand binding, and this results in modulation of gene expression. The record is from RNAcentral. RNAcentral also lists the same sequence under 1 other name. Lineage: Bacteria; Bacillati; Mycoplasmatota; Mollicutes; Acholeplasmatales; Acholeplasmataceae.
UUUCAACAUGUAUCUUAUGUACCGUAUAAUUAACUAAUAUUCGGUAGUUAAGUUUCUACCUUAGUUCCGAUAAACUAAGACUACGUACAUACUCCUUCUUAAA